UAGGAAAGGUGCAAGCGUUAAUCGGAAUUACUGGGCGUAAAGCGCGCGUAGGCGGCUUAGUAAGUUAGAUGUGAAAGCCCCGGGCUCAACCUGGGAACUGCAUCUAAAACUGCUAGGCUAGAGUAUGGUAGAGGAUGGCGGAAUUUCCUGUGUAGCGGUGAAAUGCGUAGAUAUAGGAAGGAACAUCAGUGGCGAAGGCGGCCAUCUGGACCAAUACUGACGCUGAGGUGCGACAGCGUGGGGAGCAAACAGG
RNAcentral lists this ribosomal RNA (253 nucleotides) under uncultured bacterium. RNAcentral's name for it is "partial 16S ribosomal RNA". It matches the Rfam family "Bacterial small subunit ribosomal RNA", at positions 524 to 776 of the family's 1533-position model. The record is from RNAcentral.